CACGUAGGCGGAUCGUUAAGUCGGGGGUGAAAUCCUGGAGCUCAACUCCAGAACUGCCUUCGAUACUGGCGAUCUUGAGUCCGGAAGAGGUGAGUGGAACUCCUAGUGUAGAGGUGGAAUUCGUAGAUAUUAGGAAGAACACCAGUGGCGAAGGCGGCUCACUGGUCCGGUACUGACGCUGAGGUGCGAAAGCGUGGGAGCAAACA
RNAcentral lists this ribosomal RNA (206 nucleotides) under uncultured bacterium. RNAcentral's name for it is "partial 16S ribosomal RNA". It matches the Rfam family "Bacterial small subunit ribosomal RNA", at positions 568 to 774 of the family's 1533-position model. The record is from RNAcentral.